RNAcentral lists this ribosomal RNA (133 nucleotides) under Anaerobium acetethylicum. RNAcentral's name for it is "23S rRNA. Bacterial LSU". It matches the Rfam family "Bacterial large subunit ribosomal RNA", at positions 2794 to 2925 of the family's 2925-position model. Lineage: Bacteria; Bacillati; Bacillota; Clostridia; Lachnospirales; Lachnospiraceae. The record is from RNAcentral.
CCCCCUCAAGAUGAGAUAUCUCAUAGCAUAAGCUAGUAAGACCCCUUGAAGACGACGAGGUGGAUAGGACAGAGGUGGAAGCAUGGCAACAUGUGUAGCUGACUGUUACUAAUAGGUCGAGGGCUUGACCAUA